Molecule: ribosomal RNA, 504 nt
Filed under: Rossellomorea marisflavi
Lineage: Bacteria; Bacillati; Bacillota; Bacilli; Caryophanales; Bacillaceae
Description: bacterial SSU rRNA
Rfam family: Bacterial small subunit ribosomal RNA
Source: RNAcentral
AAGUCGAGCGGGAUCGAUGGGAGCUUGCUCCCUGAGAUCAGCGGCGGACGGGUGAGUAACACGUGGGUAACCUGCCUGUAAGACUGGGAUAACUCCGGGAAACCGGGGCUAAUACCGGAUAACACCUACCCCCGCAUGGGGGAAGGUUGAAAGGUGGCUUCGGCUAUCACUUACAGAUGGACCCGCGGCGCAUUAGCUAGUUGGUGAGGUAAUGGCUCACCAAGGCGACGAUGCGUAGCCGACCUGAGAGGGUGAUCGGCCACACUGGGACUGAGACACGGCCCAGACUCCUACGGGAGGCAGCAGUAGGGAAUCUUCCGCAAUGGACGAAAGUCUGACGGAGCAACGCCGCGUGAGUGAAGAAGGUUUUCGGAUCGUAAAACUCUGUUGUUAGGGAAGAACAAGUGCCGUUCGAAUAGGGCGGCGCCUUGACGGUACCUAACCAGAAAGCCACGGCUAACUACGUGCCAGCAGCCGCGGUAAUACGUAGGUGGCAAGCGUUGU